RNAcentral lists this long non-coding RNA (1132 nucleotides) under Heterocephalus glaber (naked mole-rat). RNAcentral's name for it is "lncRNA (ENSHGLG00100051542.1)". Lineage: Eukaryota; Metazoa; Chordata; Mammalia; Rodentia; Bathyergidae. The record is from RNAcentral.
ACUCGCGCUUGGCUCUCCUCAACCACGGAAUUGGGCUUCGCCUGCCAGGACUGCGUGUCCCUCUUUGCACACCCGUGGCCUGGCUUUGCAUGCUUUCUUCUGAGGGACACACCAAGCUUCCAGCUGCCUCGCCCCGGACCCCCAGAGCUGAGGCUCCCUCUGCAGUUUGAACCAGCAGUGUGGAUGGGAGGAGCAGCAGAGUGUGUGGCCUCAUGAGAGAUGUGAGAGCUAGGGACACCCCAGUGCCUGGAGGUCGUGUGGAGUCACAUCUCGGGUGUCUCAGGUAGGAGGAACAGCAUGAACAAAAGCAUGGCGAUGGCAUUUAGAAAAGCAUUUGGGAAAGCUGGAGAUUUAGCUCAGUAGCACCUCACCUGCCUGGCAAGCGCAAGGUCCUGAGUUUGAUCCCCGGUACCAAAAAAAGAAAAGCAUUGGGGGCUGGCAGGUGAGGAGGGCUCGGAUCUUCUGGCAGGGCAGGGAGCGGUGCUGGUGCUGGUGCUGGUUCUGGGUGCAUCGCUCACACGUUUGCCAGAGGAGUCUGAUCUUUGAAGACCAUGAAACCUUUCCUCCCUUGAAAACUUACCCACUGUCCCCCUUGGCAGUGUACUCUGGCCAAAAUAAACUCAUCUCUUCUACGCGCCCCCCAUAAUGAAACCAAAGUUCAGAGAUGAGAGAAAAUACUAUUUCUUGAGCGUCUCCUACAUGCCUGGCCCCGUGGUUUAUACUUCUUUUGCGCUGACAUCUACAUUGGCUCAGAAGAAGGAGUGGCCGGCCCAGGUCCACCGACGGGAGCUGUUCCAGGGUGGGAUGGGCUGUGGGGCCCUGCCAGGCCUUGUGCGGGGGGCUGGUGGGCAGUGGAGUUGGGCGGCUGCGGGGCCUGUGACCCCGCCUAUGGGAGCAGGCUGGAGAGGCUCCUUGCUGUUCCUCCCUGGGGCAGGCAGGCCCUUGUCCUCUGGCAGCGUGGUGAGGGUGGGAGGCCUCGGGCUCAGGCUAUGUGCUCGUGGAGGGUGGACACUGGGAGAGAAGCAGCUACAGAGCCCCUGGCUCCCUCUGCAGGGCCCUGCACCUCCACAGGCACUUUUGCCCCCUGCCAGGCCUGUGGGAAGGGCCGGUCUGGUACUCAUCGUCCCUGUCC